RNAcentral lists this unclassified non-coding RNA (1431 nucleotides) under Hevea brasiliensis (rubber tree). Lineage: Eukaryota; Viridiplantae; Streptophyta; Magnoliopsida; Malpighiales; Euphorbiaceae. The record is from RNAcentral.
UUUUGAAAAAAAAAACUAUCAAUAAAUUUAUUCAAAACCGAAUCAAAUAACAUUGACUAGAAAUCAAACAGAGACUAGAAACUGAAUCGAAACAGAAAUCAAUACUAAGGUUGACCCUCCGAAACUGGCUAUUGCACCGUAACCAGCGGUCUGGUAGCCACACCGAGCGAAGACAGGAUGGCAAAACCUGAUGCUGCCCAUUAGUACCAUUCCCAAGUUCUUGAAAGCUAUUUCCCAUGGCAACCAAUCACUCACCACAAUCUCCAUGCAAGUAUAAAUUGCAAAUAAGCGAAAGUCUUCAUUGUAUCUUAACAGUAAUUAGUUUUUGACUUCAACGGGUUAUCACUCAGCAAGACCAAUAUUCAAUGUACAUAAACAGAGGUUUAGAGAAAAUGAGAGAAAUCACGGCAUUCCUAUAUUACAAGUAAUUUCCAAUUCAUGUAAAACAGUAACCAAAAGAAUAAUAAUUUCUUCAGGAUUAGGUGGAGAACCACCACCACUAAAGUUAGGAUAUGAAAAUGUGGCAUUUAUAUGAGAGGAAUUCGCAUCAGCAACAACUGCUCGUUGAUGCAUCAGUUUGUGGCGGCUUCUCUUUAAAGAUGUUCGUUUUUAAGCCCUUGGAGCCCUCAGCUAAGAGGCUAGGCGUAUCCAAAAUCUUUAAAACAAGCUCUUCAAAACACUGCUGCACGUUAACGCGAGUUUUAGCACUGCAUUCAAUAAAAAGGCAUCCAUAUUCCCUGGCAAAAUUUAUGCCUUCUUUUUUCGUUACAACCCGUUCACUGUCCUUGUCAACCUUGUUUCCAACAAGCAUCUUGAUGCAGUCUUGAUUUGUUGAAUAUAGGUCAAUUUCCUUCGCCCAUACAUCAGAAAGGUUAGUGAAUGUGUCUCGCCUUGUUACAUCAUAGACCAUGAUAAUCCCUUGGGCACCUCUGUAAUAUGAACUUGUCAGUGUUCUAAAUCUCUCUUGACCAGCUGUAUCCCAAAUUGCAAGUUUGAGCUUUUUGCCCCCAAUAUUGACAUAUUUUACUUUAAAAUCAACACCGAUAGUAGGAGAGAGAUCUUCAAAGGUAUCAGAAGUGAAGCUCAAAAGAAGGCUACUCUUUCCAACACCUGAAUCCCCAAUCAUCAACAACUUGAACAAGUAAUCAAACUCUGGCUGACUCGAACUCGAAUCCAUUCAAAUAAUUCUCUCAACCAGCUAAAGCCAAAAUGGGGCGUAAUUCACCCCCAAAAAAAAACCUUAAAUUUGAUGGAAUUGAUGGAUCGUAACAAUUGAUGAUACGAGUGAUGAAAAUCUGGAAACGAAGAGGGACAGAGAGCACAUAACCCAAUCACGAACGCUGCAUUUGGAAGGGAAAGACCACUGUUAAAUGUUAAUCGGGUACAAAAAAGGAAUUUUGCGGAACAACAUUUUUCUCCCCUAAAACGCUG